ACGAAGAAGUGGUCUGCGCCGUUUCGAGAAUUGUGCGAGAAAAUGCCGAGCUACGAGAGCAGUUGCGGGAACUCCCCGAGAAGACUGCGCUCGAGAUAGAGGAACUGAAAACGGCUCUCGGCAAGGCCCAGCGUGACCUUGAAAUUUCCAGCACGAGAUGCAAGGAAUUGGAGGCAAAAUUACGAUCCCAGGCCUCGAAUGCAGGCCUCCAAGAAGGGGAGACUGGCAAGCAACUGCAGGGGAGUGGCGGAGGAGCAGAUGGGGAGCUGCCAUCGACGUCCAAGCGUCAAUCCCAAGAUGGCGAAGUUGAUCCUCCCAAG
This is a long non-coding RNA of Uloborus diversus, 320 nucleotides long. RefSeq lists it as uncharacterized. The record is from RefSeq and is a predicted model, not a curated record. NCBI's taxonomy places the organism in Eukaryota, Metazoa, Arthropoda, Arachnida, Araneae, Uloboridae. The transcript has 4 exons.